This is a non-coding RNA of Schistosoma mattheei, 46 nucleotides long. Lineage: Eukaryota; Metazoa; Platyhelminthes; Trematoda; Strigeidida; Schistosomatidae. The record is from Rfam.
GCAUUGUUGAUGAGUCCCAUACUAGAACGAAACGGCCGUCCAAUGC